This is a non-coding RNA of Oryctolagus cuniculus (rabbit), 2152 nucleotides long. Lineage: Eukaryota; Metazoa; Chordata; Mammalia; Lagomorpha; Leporidae. The record is from RefSeq and is a predicted model, not a curated record.
AAGGAGGUUCUUGGGAGGCUUGUAGAUGGCCCCUUCCCCUGUGUCCUCCCCAGCCCCUUCCUCUGCACUCCUCUGCCCUAAUGUCUUCUUACAGGGCUGGUGUGGUAGCCUGUCUCCAACAGUGUACCCCUAAGAUGACUGCCACCUCAUGUAGUCACCUCCCACAUUAUCCCAUGGUGACUUAGAACAGGUUAUGGAAGACACCGCCACUUCUGCUUUGUUCUCUCUCUCUCCCUCUCUCUCUCCUUUUCUCUCUCUCUGGAAGAAAUCGGGUCAUCAGAAGCUCAGCAGUCGGGUGCACCUGGCAAGCUCCCUGCUCACAUGCACAUAAGUGAGCCCGGAAACCCUAAUUCCUCCAGAUUCAGGCGCUCUUCAGUUGCCUACAGCCCUGGCUGACCCAAGCUGAGCUGCUCCUGGAUUUUUGACCCACCAGGCACCCACCAGGAGAUAAGAAAUGGUUGUUGUUUUAAGCAGAUACGCUGGGAGUCAUUUGUUACGCAGCAGCUGGGUCUUCAGCAUCUAGGGCUCAGCCAAUCAACUCCCACUCAAGCUUAGGAUUCAAUCACCCAAUACCUAGGAGAAUUGAAGACACCACAAGCCUACUGUUCAUGAUUCAUCCUUGCCAGGCGGAGAGCCAUCGAAUGCACUUCUCCCAAGGUUACAUCGUAAAAUUCAGGGCAGUGACUGCAAAGAAGGAGGAAAGAGGAAAGACAGAAACAUGCACACGGCCACGUGGUUGACAAGAUGACCCAGGGAAUUGCCUCCCCGUUGGAGCUGAUGGUUUCCUCUGCUGUGUACAGCAGCCCUUGCUCUCACCGCAACCAGCACUGUAAGUGCCCCAAGGCUCCCACAGCAAUCGCUGCACCUGCUGUGGUCCUCCACGGCCCAGAUGGCCACCGUUCCACUGGCCAGGCCCCACAGAUUGGAUCGAGGGUGGAGAUUGUUUACCAGAGAAGAAACAGAUGAAAGUAAGGCCCUUCCCAAUCCUCAGCCAUGGAGUCCUCCCUUGUAGCUGCGGCCAAUAUAAAAAUAACUCCAAGUUCUUAAUCUUGAACCCUGAUCACCUGUGUUAAGUGGAAUCCUUCGUGUGAUGUCUGGAAAAUAGUAGGCAUUCAACAAAUAUUUGCUGAACAAAUCAGCUUCUUAACUUAAGUAGUCAUUCCUUCUCUUGCAAAUACGAUUCUGAAAGAGCUGACCCAUUCCUAACGAUGGUUUAUGAUUCUUGAGGGCAUUUUCUUUUCUUCCCAUCAGAGAAACAAGUCUUUCAAUUCUGCAACAAAAGUCACUGGGUAGAGUUGAUUUGAUUCAGUGACCUUGAUUUAUUGAAAUUGCUUGUGCUGUAAACAGAAGCACAUGCAGGAAGCAAGAAGCAGCAGAGAUGGGAUCCAGUCUCAGGGGGGCCCAGGCCUGUGUCCCUCUUCCCACAGGGGGCUCUCCAGUCCACACAGCCGGCUGGCACUUGGCUGGCAUCACACCCCACAUGGCUAGAAGCCAUUUGACACCUCUGUUUGGCAAUCCAGUCCACACAGCUGGCUGGUACCCCAACUCACACAGCCAACAUCCAGGUCCAUGUGACCGACUGGUACCUCAGUCCUCACAGCUGGCAUCCCAAUCUACAUGGCUAGAACUUAGUUAACAUGACUGGCUGAUAAUCCAGUCCACACCACUGAAACCCAGCCCCAAUCCUGUCACCCUAGUCCAUACAGAGGGUGACCUGGUCCACACAGCUGGCACUCAGAAUGGGUAGUGCACCAACUGGAUACUGGUUCACUGCUCUCUGCUCUGUACAAAGCAGUCUGUGCUGGCCUCUGGACCCAAGUUCUGGCCUCAAGUUACUAUUUGGCUCUCACAAAACAAAACCAGCCUAAAUUAUACUAAGAGGGAAGGGGCCGGUGCUGUGUUGUAGUGGGUAAAGACACCACCUUUAGUAGGGCCGGAAUCCCAUAUGGGGCCUGUUCGAGUCCCAGCUGCUCUACUUUCAAUCCAGAUCUCUGCUAUGAACUGGAAAAGCAGUAGAAGGUGGCCCAAGUGCUUGGGUCCCUGCACCCACAUGGGAGACCUGGAAAAAGCUCCUGGCUCCUGGCUUCGUAUCAGUCUAGCUCUGGUUGUUGCACCCACCUGGGGAAUGAACCAGCAGAUGGAAGACCUCUCU